GGCGAUUGGGACGAAGUCGUAACAAGGUACCCGUACCGGAAGGUGCGGGUGGAUCACCUCCUUU
Molecule: ribosomal RNA, 64 nt
Filed under: Corynebacterium accolens
Lineage: Bacteria; Bacillati; Actinomycetota; Actinomycetes; Mycobacteriales; Corynebacteriaceae
Also listed under: 3 other names
Description: partial 16S ribosomal RNA
Rfam family: Bacterial small subunit ribosomal RNA
Source: RNAcentral